GGAGUUAGCCGGUGCUUCUUCUGCGAGUAACGUCACAGAUGUAAGGUAUUAACUUACACCCUUUCCUCCUCGCUGAAAGUGCUUUACAACCCGAAGGCCUUCUUCACACACGCGGCAUGGCUGCAUCAGGGUUUCCCCCAUUGUGCAAUAUUCCCCACUGCUGCCUCCCGUAGGAGUCUGGGCCGUGUCUCAGUCCCAGUGUGGCUGAUCAUCCUCUCAGACCAGCUAGGGAUCGUCGCCUAGGUGAGCCUUUACCUCACCUACUAGCUAAUCCCACCUGGGCUUAUCCAUCAGCGCAAGGCCCGAAGGUCCCCUGCUUUCCCCCGUAGGGCGUAUGCGGUAUUAGCAGUCGUUUCCAACUGUUAUCCCCCACAAAUGGGCAAAUUCCCAGGCAUUACUCACCCGUCCGCCGCUCGUCAUCUUCAAAAGCAAGCUUUUGAAAUGUUAACCGCUCGACUUGCAUGUGUUAGGCCUGCCGCCAGCGUUCAAUCUGAGCCAUGAUCAAACUCUGA
Molecule: ribosomal RNA, 512 nt
Filed under: uncultured bacterium
Lineage: Bacteria
Description: partial 16S ribosomal RNA
Source: RNAcentral